RNAcentral lists this ribosomal RNA (333 nucleotides) under uncultured bacterium. RNAcentral describes it as "bacterial SSU rRNA". It matches the Rfam family "Bacterial small subunit ribosomal RNA", at positions 568 to 898 of the family's 1533-position model. The record is from RNAcentral.
CGUGUAGGCGGGGACAUAAGUCAGAUGUGAAAUACCGAGGCUUAACUUCGGGGCUGCAUCUGAAACUAUGUUUCUUGAGUGUCGGAGAGGAAAGUGGAAUUCCCAGUGUAGCGGUGAAAUGCGUAGAUAUUGGGAGGAACACCAGUGGCGAAGGCGACUUUCUGGACGAUAACUGACGCUGAGGCGCGAAAGCGUGGGGAGCAAACAGGAUUAGAUACCCUGGUAGUCCACGCUGUAAACGAUGGAUACUAGGUGUAGGAGGUAUCGACCCCUUCUGUGCCGGAGUUAACACAAAUAAGUAUCCCACCUGGGGAGUACGGCCGCAAGGUUGAA